Globicephala melas (long-finned pilot whale) is the source of this 103-nucleotide small nuclear RNA. Lineage: Eukaryota; Metazoa; Chordata; Mammalia; Artiodactyla; Delphinidae. The record is from RefSeq and is a predicted model, not a curated record.
GUGCUGCUUCAGCAGCACAUAUACUAAAAUUGGAACGAUAAGCAGAAGAUUAGUAUGGCCCCUGAGCAAGGACGUGCAAAUUUGUGAAGCAUUCCACAUUUAA